Molecule: long non-coding RNA, 728 nt
Filed under: Marmota monax (woodchuck)
Lineage: Eukaryota; Metazoa; Chordata; Mammalia; Rodentia; Sciuridae
Source: RNAcentral
AGCCACCCUCCCCCCACAUUGUAAGUUUCAGUUUUCUGUAACAAUUGUUCCUAAUGAUAGAGUUCAGAUAUUAUUGGCCAGAAGCCUACUGGUUUCCUGGAGUUUCUCUUAGGAAUUUGUGACAUUUCAAUGAGACUUUCCAAAUAGUUUAAUAUUCCUAGUCUGUCAGUUUUAAAGACUGGAAGUCAAGCUAGAAAUAAUUUGGAGAGAGAUUGAACCAAUGAUGGUAUCAAACUUUUUUUUCCUUGAUGGGGAGAGCUUUCUAUAAAGAGGGUGAAUGUAAAAGGAUGGAGAUCAAAGACAGAGAUAAUUGAGAAGUGAAAGACUCAAAGGAGGCAAGAGGAAAGCUAUCAGAUCAAGGAAGCAGACAAAGGGGUUGCUACAAAAAGUGUCUCCUCCUUAGAGACUGGCUAGGUAUGAUGGGUGCUUCAUACAUGGGUACAGUGGCUCUGAAACAGGCAAGAGACAUAAUAAGGAAGUGAUAGGUGGCCUAUACUAUGAACUAGUAGAUUCCUAGUUAACUUUUCCUUUGGGAUGUGACUGUGUGUGCUAAACUAAUGUUUCAUGUACCAGCUCACAUCCUUUUAAGAGUGUCCUUUCUCUUUGAUUUUCAUUUAGACUUAUAUGACCUGAAAAGAGUUCAUGUAGUCAUUGAAGAAUCAAAAUGACAAAAACAUUCAUCUCAUCAGAAGGGUGCCAACAUUUCAUUAAAAUAGUCUCAUUAUUUA